This 420-nucleotide ribosomal RNA is filed under the name uncultured Nitrososphaerota archaeon. Its description in RNAcentral is "bacterial SSU rRNA". It matches the Rfam family "Archaeal small subunit ribosomal RNA", at positions 459 to 879 of the family's 1478-position model. The record is from RNAcentral. Lineage: Archaea; Thermoproteati; Nitrososphaerota.
CAGCCGCCGCGGUAAAACCAGCCCCCCGAGUGGUGGGGAUGAUUAUUUGGCCUAAAACGUCCGUAGCCGGCUCUGUAAAUCUCUCGUUAAAUCCAACGUCCUAAGCGUUGGACCGCGAGGGGAACUGCAGAACUAGAGGGUGGGAGAGGUCAGCGGUAUUCCUGGGGUAGGGGCGAAAUCCUUUGAUCCCCGGAGGACCACCAGUGGCGAAGGCUGCUGUCUAGAACACGUCUGACGGUCAGGGACGAAAGCUGGGGUAGCGAACCGGAUUAGAUACCCGGGUAGUCCCAGCCGUAAACGAUGCAUGCUAGGUGUUGGGUUGGCCACGAGCCACCCCAGUGCCGCAGGGAAGCCGUUAAGCAUGCCGCCUGGGAAGUACGAUCGCAAGAUUGAAACUUAAAGGAAUUGGCGGGGGAGCAC